This 74-nucleotide transfer RNA is filed under the name Thermotalea metallivorans. Its description in RNAcentral is "tRNA-Gly". It matches the Rfam family "tRNA". From Rfam's summary of the family: Transfer RNA (tRNA) molecules are approximately 80 nucleotides in length. Lineage: Bacteria; Bacillati; Bacillota; Clostridia; Peptostreptococcales; Thermotaleaceae. RNAcentral also lists the same sequence under 6 other names. The record is from RNAcentral.
GCGGGCAUAGCUUAAUGGCAGAGUCCCGGCUUCCCAAGCCGGUUGUGCGGGUUCGAUUCCCGUUGCCCGCUCCA